UUCAAACACUUGUUCUCAUAUGAUCACCGAAGUUAAGUAACGUCGAGCCUGGUCAGUACCUAGAUGGGUGACCGCUUGGUAAUAGCAGGUGCUGUAAG
Molecule: non-coding RNA, 98 nt
Organism: Acanthosepion pharaonis
Lineage: Eukaryota; Metazoa; Mollusca; Cephalopoda; Sepiida; Sepiidae
Source: the annotation of a GenBank genome assembly